AGGAUGAACGCUAGCGAUAGGCCUAACACAUGCAAGUCGAGGGGCAGCACAUGAAGUAGCGAUACGGAUGGUGGCGACCGGCGCACGGGUGAGUAACGCGUAUGCAAUCUACCUACAACAAGGGGAUAACCCGUUGAAAGACGGACUAAUACCCUAUAAUACAGGGGGUCCCGCAUGGGAAUAUUUGUUAAAGAUUCAUCGGUUGUAGAUGAGCAUGCGUUCCAUUAGCUAGUUGGUGAGGUAACGGCCCACCAAGGCAACGAUGGAUAGGGGAACUGAGAGGUUUAUCCCCCACACUGGUACUGAGACACGGACCAGACUCCUACGGGAGGCAGCAGUGAGGAAUAUUGGUCAAUGGACGCAAGUCUGAACCAGCCACGUCGCGUGAAGGAAGACGGCCCUAUGGGUUGUAAACUUCUUUUGUAAGGGAAUAAAGUGAGUCACGGGUGGCUUAUUGCAUGUACCUUACGAAUAAGGAUCGGCUAACUCCGUG
This 493-nucleotide ribosomal RNA is filed under the name uncultured bacterium. RNAcentral describes it as "bacterial SSU rRNA". It matches the Rfam family "Bacterial small subunit ribosomal RNA", at positions 26 to 507 of the family's 1533-position model. The record is from RNAcentral.